RNAcentral lists this unclassified non-coding RNA (334 nucleotides) under soil metagenome. RNAcentral describes it as "partial contains 5.8S ribosomal RNA, internal transcribed spacer 2, and large subunit ribosomal RNA". The stretch from base 1 to 120 matches the Rfam family "5.8S ribosomal RNA", at positions 35 to 154 of the family's 154-position model. The record is from RNAcentral.
GAUGAAGAACGUAGUGAAAUGCGAUAAGUAAUGUGAAUUGCAGAAUUCAGUGAAUCAUCGAAUCUUUGAACGCACAUUGCGCCCACCAGUAUUCUGGCGGGCAUGCCUGUUCGAGCGUCAUUUCAACCAUCAAGCCCCCGGCUUGUGUUGGGGACCUGCGGCUGCCGCAGGCCCUGAAAACCAGUGGCGGGCUCGCUAGUCACUCCGAGCGUAGUAAUACAUCUCGCUCAGGGCGUGCUGCGGGUUCCGGCCGUUAAAAGCCUUAUUUACCCAAGGUUGACCUCGGAUCAGGUAGGAAGACCCGCUGAACUUAAGCAUAUCAAUAAGCGGAGGA